Salvia splendens (bonfire salvia) is the source of this 1585-nucleotide RNA transcript. It is a transcript of the gene named 50S ribosomal protein L13, chloroplastic-like, with no coding region annotated. The record is from RefSeq and is a predicted model, not a curated record. The transcript has 6 exons. Lineage: Eukaryota; Viridiplantae; Streptophyta; Magnoliopsida; Lamiales; Lamiaceae.
AACCCCAACAGCUUAUCCUCAUUGUAGGAGUAGCGGCAUUGACAUUGGCAAUGGCUGUUAACUGCGCCACUUCUUCUUCCCUUUUCAUUUCCAAACCCUCUAACAAACCCUCACCCUCCUCCGUCACGACCACGCCGUUCCUCGGCUUUUCACUCGCCGCUUCGACCAAACCCGCCGUCCAAUCCAAAAGGCUUUUCAAGAUAUGCUGCCAAGACAAACCCGCUGUUAUACCGGCCGAGCAGCAGUGGAUGUUCGACGAUCUCACUGGCCCCGAUGUGUGGAAUAAGACAUGGUAUCCCAAGGCUAAGGACCAUAUUCCAACCAGCAAGACUUGGUACGUGGUGGAUGCUAGCGACAAGAUUCUUGGAAGACUAGCUUCGACAAUAGCCAUUCAUAUCAGGGGAAAGAAUCUAGCUACAUACACUCCUAGUGUCGACAUGGGAGCCCAUGUUAUAGUGGUGAAUGCGGAGAAGAUCGCUGUAUCUGGAAAGAAGAGGACACUGAAACUCUACCGGAGGCACUCAGGAAGACCUGGUGGCAUGACAGUGGAAACAUUCGAUCAGCUUCAGAAGAGAGUUCCUGAAAGAAUUAUUGAGCAUGCUGUGCGUGGGAUGCUCCCUAAAGGGCGACUUGGCAGAUCAUUGUUUACCCAUCUUAAGGUUUACACUGGUCCAGAUCACCCUCAUGAAGCUCAACAACCCAAGGAAUUGCCUAUAAGGGACAAGAGGAUAACAAAGCAGACGUAGAGGUGUUAAUGUUUCUUUGAGUGUCAGGAACGCCAGCAAGGCACCAAUGGCUGCAGUCGAUCCCGCCCCCAGCAUACGUGGAUGGAUGGCCAUCCUUCCCCAGCUGAGUCAGUAAAAGUAUGUCUAGCAGAGUUGCAGGUUUGUCCAUGUUGCUCAGUACAGUCCUGAUCACCGCGUCCCCCGGAGGUUUGCUUACUGGGAAAGUGGACCCUUCAACGGGCUUUGGUCUGCCCCCUGCAGUCCUGCACGCUAGAGCUUACUGGCAAUGAACUGUAGAAAUCCGUUGGAAGAAGACAAAGGUGUAUGCUUGCAUGAGAUCCAUGUCCGGGAAUGUGUUGUUUCCGAGCAGGCACGAGUAAAAGAAGAAGAUGAAGAUGAUGUUUAUUUAAGGGAAUGGACUGAUGUUUUAAGGCGGCCGGAGUGGAGCCACCAGUGGUAGGUGUUGAAGAUCAAGACAUGGUAGCCUAGCCAGAGGGCGAGGGUGUGGAGCAUCAAGAAUCCGUUUAUCAACAACUUAAUCGUGAAAUCGUAUUCCUUUAAUUUACAAAAGGGAAGGGAAGGGAAGGGAAGGGAAGAAGAGUUGGUAGUUACUCCAUUUACUGUUAUUAUUAGCAAAAUGGAAACAAUAAUAAUAAUAAUAAUAAUAAUGUGAUUGAGUUGUUGAUUUGAUGUACCACCGGGAAGAUGGGGACAGAGGCGUGAAGGAAGCAUGCAUGCACGCCAUAGAUUCCCACUCAGUGACUCUCCCACAUACAUUACCUUUUUGCCCCUGUACCUCUCCAUUCCAUACAUUCAUAAUUCACUCUUUUAACAUUUAUUACUACUCCUAUCAUUCUUUU